This 433-nucleotide ribosomal RNA is filed under the name uncultured bacterium. RNAcentral describes it as "partial 16S ribosomal RNA". It matches the Rfam family "Bacterial small subunit ribosomal RNA", at positions 29 to 507 of the family's 1533-position model. The record is from RNAcentral.
AGCGAACGCUGGCGGCAGGCCUAACACAUGCAAGUCGAACGAACUCUUCGGAGUUAGUGGCGGACGGGUGAGUAACACGUGGGAACGUGCCUUUAGGUUCGGAAUAACUCAGGGAAACUUGUGCUAAUACCGAAUGUGCCCUUCGGGGGAAAGAUUUAUCGCCUUUAGAGCGGCCCGCGUCUGAUUAGCUAGUUGGUGAGGUAAAGGCUCCCCAAGGCGACGAUCAGUAGCUGGUCUGAGAGGAUGAUCAGCCACAUUGGGACUGAGACACGGCCCAAACUCCUACGGGAGGCAGCAGUGGGGAAUCUUGCGCAAUGGGCGAAAGCCUGACGCAGCCAUGCCGCGUGAAUGAUGAAGGUCUUAGGAUUGUAAAAUUCUUUCACCGGGGACGAUAAUGACGGUACCCGGAGAAGAAGCCCCGGCUAACUUCGUG